This 497-nucleotide ribosomal RNA is filed under the name uncultured bacterium. RNAcentral describes it as "partial 16S ribosomal RNA". It matches the Rfam family "Bacterial small subunit ribosomal RNA", at positions 28 to 507 of the family's 1533-position model. The record is from RNAcentral.
GAUGAACGCUGGCGGCGUGCCUAAUACAUGCAAGUCGAGCGAACAGACGAGGAGCUUGCUCCUCUGACGUUAGCGGCGGACGGGUGAGUAACACGUGGAUAACCUACCUAUAAGACUGGGAUAACUUCGGGAAACCGGAGCUAAUACCGGAUAAUAUAUUGAACCGCAUGGUUCAAUAGUGAAAGACGGUUUUGCUGUCACUUAUAGAUGGAUCCGCGCCGCAUUAGCUAGUUGGUAAGGUAACGGGUUACCAAGGCAACGAUGCGUAGCCGACCUGAGAGGGUGAUCGGCCACACUGGAACUGAGACACGGUCCAGACUCCUACGGGAGGCAGCAGUAGGGAAUCUUCCGCAAUGGGCGAAAGCCUGACGGAGCAACGCCGCGUGAGUGAUGAAGGUCUUCGGAUCGUAAAACUCUGUUAUUAGGGAAGAACAAAUGUGUAAGCAACUAUGCACGUCUUGACGGUACCUAAUCAGAAAGCCACGGCUAACUACGUG